This 429-nucleotide ribosomal RNA is filed under the name Chloroflexota bacterium. RNAcentral describes it as "Chloroflexi bacterium partial 16S ribosomal RNA". It matches the Rfam family "Bacterial small subunit ribosomal RNA", at positions 355 to 776 of the family's 1533-position model. The record is from RNAcentral. Lineage: Bacteria; Bacillati; Chloroflexota.
UGGGGAAUAUUGCACAAUGGGCGCAAGCCUGAUGCAGCCAUGCCGCUUGUGUGAAGAAGGCCUUCGGGUUGUAAAGCACUUUCAGCGGGGAGGAAGGCGAUAAGGUUAAUAACCUUGUCGAUUGACGUUACCCGCAGAAGAAGCACCGGCUAACUCCGUGCCAGCAGCCGCGGUAAUACGGAGGGUGCAAGCGUUAAUCGGAAUUACUGGGCGUAAAGCGCACGCAGGCGGUCUGUCAAGUCGGAUGUGAAAUCCCCGGGCUCAACCUGGGAACUGCAUUCGAAACUGGCAGGCUAGAGUCUUGUAGAGGGGGGUAGAAUUCCAGGUGUAGCGGUGAAAUGCGUAGAGAUCUGGAGGAAUACCGGUGGCGAAGGCGGCCCCCUGGACAAAGACUGACGCUCAGGUGCGAAAGCGUGGGGAGCAAACAGG